AAACUAACAAGGAUGCCCCUAGUAACUGCGAGUGAAGCGGGAAAAGCUCAAAUUUAAAAUCUGGCGGUCUUUGGCCGUCCGAGUUGUAUUCUGGAGAAGUGCUUCCCGCGCUGGACCGUGUAUAAGUCUCUUGGAACAGAGCGUCAUAGAGGGUGAGAAUCCCGUCUUUGACACGGACUACCAGUGCUUUGUGAUGCGCUCUCAAAGAGUCGAGUUGUUUGGGAAUGCAGCUCAAAAUGGGUGGUGAAUUCCAUCUAAAGCUAAAUAUUGGCGAGAGACCGAUAGCGAACAAGUACCGUGAGGGAAAGAUGAAAAGCACUUUGGAAAGAGAGUUAAACAGUACGUGAAAUUGCUGAAAGGGAAACGCUUGAAGUCAGUCGCGUUUGCCGGAACUCAGCCUUCCUUUUGGUUGGUGCACUUUCCGGUAGACGGGCCAGCAUCGAUUUCGACCGUCGGAUAAGGGCUGGGGAAAUGUGGCACCUUUCGGGGUGUGUUAUAGUCCUCAGUCGCAUACGUCGGUUGGGAUCGAGGAUCGCAGCGCGCCGCAAGGCAGGGGUUCGCCCACUUUCGCGCUUAGGAUGCUGGCAUAAUGGCUUUAAACGACCCGUCUUGAAACACGGACCAAGGAGUCUAACAAACCUGCGAGUGUUUGGGUGGAAAACCCGAGCGCGUAAUGAAAGUGAAAGUUGAGACCUCUGUCGUGGAGGGCAUCGACGCCCGGACCUGAAGUUCUCUGACGGUUCCGCGGUAGAGCAUGUUUGUUGGGACCCGAAAGAUGGUGAACUAUGCCUGAAUAGGGUGAAGCCAGAGGAAACUCUGGUGGAGGCUUGUAGCGAUUCUGACGUGCAAAUCGAUCGUCAAAUUUGGGUAUAGGGGCGAAAGACUAAUCGAACCANNNNNNNNNNNNNNNNNNNN
Molecule: ribosomal RNA, 915 nt
Filed under: Lentinus brumalis
Lineage: Eukaryota; Fungi; Basidiomycota; Agaricomycetes; Polyporales; Polyporaceae
Description: partial 25S ribosomal RNA
Rfam family: Eukaryotic large subunit ribosomal RNA
Source: RNAcentral